CGUAGGUGGCAAGCGUUGUCCGGAUUUACUGGGCGUAAAGGGCGUGCAGGCGGCUUGUUAAGUGCAGGGUGAAAGCUCCCGGCUCAACUGGGAGAGGUCCUUGCAUACUGGCGAGCUCGAGGGAGGCAGAGGAAAGUGGAAUUCCCGGUGUAGUGGUGAUAUGCGUAGAUAUCGGGAGGAACACCUGUGGCGAAGGCGGCUUUCUGGGCCUUACCUGACGCUGAGACGCGAAAGCGUGGGGAGCGAACCGGAUUAGAUACCCGGGUAGUCCACGCCGUAAACUAUGGCCACUAGGUGUGGGGGGUAUCGACCCCCUCCGUGCCGAAGCUAACGCAAUAAGUGUCCCGCCUGGGGAGUACGGCCGCAAGGCUA
RNAcentral lists this ribosomal RNA (372 nucleotides) under uncultured organism. RNAcentral's name for it is "bacterial SSU rRNA". It matches the Rfam family "Bacterial small subunit ribosomal RNA", at positions 526 to 896 of the family's 1533-position model. The record is from RNAcentral.